GUGAGGAAUAUUGCGCAAUGGGGGAAACCCUGACGCAGCGACGCCGCGUGAGUGAUGAAGGCCUUCGGGUCGUAAAGCUCUGUUGCAGGGGAAUAAAAAAAUGAAGGUACCCUGUGAGGAAGGAUCGGCUAACUUCGUGCCAGCAGCCGCGGUAAGACGAGGGAUCCUAGCGUUGCUCGGAAUCAUUGGGCGUAAAGAGGGCGUAGGUGGCUUGGUAAGUCAGGUGUGAAAGCCCAGGGCUCAACCCUGGAAGUGCAUUUGAUACUGCUGAGCUUGAGUGUCGGAGAGGUUACCGGAAUACCUGGUGUAGUGGUGAAAUACGUAGAUAUCAGGUGGAACACCGGAGGCGAAGGCGGGUAACUGGACGAACACUGACACUGAGGCCCGAAAGCGUGGGGAUCAAACAGGAUUAGAUACCCGGGUAGUCC
RNAcentral lists this ribosomal RNA (428 nucleotides) under uncultured bacterium. Its description in RNAcentral is "bacterial SSU rRNA". It matches the Rfam family "Bacterial small subunit ribosomal RNA", at positions 354 to 796 of the family's 1533-position model. The record is from RNAcentral.